UACAGAGGGUGCAAGCGUUAAUCGGAAUUACUGGGCGUAAAGCGAGCGUAGUCGGUUAUUUAAGUCGGAUGUGAAAUCCCCGGGCUCAACCUGGGAAUUGCAUUCGAUACUGGAUAGCUAGAGUUCGGCAGAGGGAAGCGGAAUUUCGGGUGUAGCGGUGAAAUGCGUAGAUAUCAGGAGGAACACCGGUGGCGAAGGCGGCUAUCUGGACAGAAACUGACGCUGAGGCGCGAAAGCUAGGGGAGCAAACGGG
RNAcentral lists this ribosomal RNA (253 nucleotides) under uncultured bacterium. RNAcentral's name for it is "partial 16S ribosomal RNA". It matches the Rfam family "Bacterial small subunit ribosomal RNA", at positions 524 to 776 of the family's 1533-position model. The record is from RNAcentral.